Non-coding RNA from Trichonephila inaurata madagascariensis, 70 nucleotides. Lineage: Eukaryota; Metazoa; Arthropoda; Arachnida; Araneae; Nephilidae. The record is from the annotation of a GenBank genome assembly.
UCCCUGUAGCGCAAUGGAUAGCGCGUUGGGUUUCUAAUUAAAAGUGGUAAGUUCGAAUUGCCCUUGGGAG